Molecule: ribosomal RNA, 514 nt
Filed under: uncultured bacterium
Lineage: Bacteria
Description: partial 16S ribosomal RNA
Rfam family: Bacterial small subunit ribosomal RNA
Source: RNAcentral
GAUGAACGCUGGCGGCGUGCCUAAUACAUGCAAGUCGAGCGAACAGAUGAGAAGCUUGCUUCUCUGAUGUUAGCGGCGGACGGGUGAGUAACACGUGGGUAACCUACCUAUAAGACUGGGAUAACUCCGGGAAACCGGGGCUAAUACCGGAUAAUAUUUUGAACCGCAUGGUUCAAUAGUGAAAGACGGUUUCGGCUGUCACUUAUAGAUGGACCCGCGCCGUAUUAGCUAGGUGGUAAGGUAACGGCUUACCAAGGCGACGAUACGUAGCCGACCUGAGAGGGUGAUCGGCCACACUGGAACUGAGACACGGUCCAGACUCCUACGGGAGGCAGCAGUAGGGAAUCUUCCGCAAUGGGCGAAAGCCUGACGGAGCAACGCCGCGUGAGUGAUGAAGGUCUUCGGAUCGUAAAACUCUGUUGUUAGGGAAGAACAAAUUUGUUAGUAACUGAACAAGUCUUGACGGUACCUAACCAGAAAGCCACGGCUAACUACGUGCCAGCAGCCGCAGUAA